GUCUGUUCAGGCGAUGGAGUCCGCCUGUCCCAACCGCCAUUCUGGCUGAUGACUCCUACUGAACA
Halorubrum sp. J07HR59 is the source of this 65-nucleotide non-coding RNA. The record is from Rfam. Lineage: Archaea; Methanobacteriati; Methanobacteriota; Halobacteria; Halobacteriales; Haloferacaceae.